Molecule: long non-coding RNA, 138 nt
Organism: Octopus sinensis (East Asian common octopus)
Lineage: Eukaryota; Metazoa; Mollusca; Cephalopoda; Octopoda; Octopodidae
Exons: 3
Source: RefSeq, a predicted model, not a curated record
UAUUUAUAUGUAGAGGUGUGUGGCUUAGUGGUUAGGGUGUUGGACUUGUGAUCAUAAGAUUGUGGUUUCAAUCCCUAGACUGGGUGAUGCGUUAUGUUCUAGAGCAAAACACUUCAUUUCAUAUUGCUCCAGUCUGAU